This is a long non-coding RNA of Aricia agestis (brown argus), 138 nucleotides long. RefSeq lists it as uncharacterized. The transcript is spliced from 2 exons. The record is from RefSeq and is a predicted model, not a curated record. Lineage: Eukaryota; Metazoa; Arthropoda; Insecta; Lepidoptera; Lycaenidae.
GCAGAUUUGUAUGUGAAUUGUGCCUGAUGGUGAAACCACAGGUUAGUGAUAAUGUAAUUAAUCAGGGAAUUAUAAAAUAAAACUUAUGAUGGUGAGCAAACUAACCCAGCAGUAUUCCGAUCAUAGAUUGACAACAUU